This 73-nucleotide transfer RNA is filed under the name Camelus bactrianus (Bactrian camel). It matches the Rfam family "tRNA". From Rfam's summary of the family: Transfer RNA (tRNA) molecules are approximately 80 nucleotides in length. The record is from Rfam by way of RNAcentral. Lineage: Eukaryota; Metazoa; Chordata; Mammalia; Artiodactyla; Camelidae. RNAcentral also lists the same sequence under 3 other names.
GAGGGUGUAGCUCAAGUGGCAGAGUGCAUGCUUAGCAUGCACAAGGCCCUGGGUUCAAUUCCCAGUACCUCCU